RNAcentral lists this ribosomal RNA (460 nucleotides) under uncultured bacterium. Its description in RNAcentral is "partial 16S ribosomal RNA". It matches the Rfam family "Bacterial small subunit ribosomal RNA", at positions 338 to 795 of the family's 1533-position model. The record is from RNAcentral.
CCUACGGGUGGCAGCAGUGAGGAAUAUUGGUCAAUGGACGAGAGUCUGAACCAGCCAAGUAGCGUGAAGGAUGACUGCUCUAUGGGUUGUAAACUCUUUUUAUAAAGGAAUAAAACGAGGCACGUGUGCCUUUUUGCAUGUACUUUAUGAAUAAGGAUCGGCGAACUCUGUGCCAGCAGCCGCGGUAAUAAGGAGGAUCCGAGCGUUAUCCGGAUUUAUUGGGUUUAAAGGGAGCGUAGAUGGGUUGUUAAGUCAGUUGUGAAAGUUUGCGGCUCAACCGUAAAAUUGCAAUUGAUACUGGCAGUCUGGAGUACAGUUGAGGUAGGCGGAAUUCGUGGUGUAGCGGUGAAAUGCUUAGAUAUCACGAAGAACCCCGAUUGCGAAGGCAGCUUACUAAACUGUGACUGACAUUGAGGCUCGAAAGUGUGGGGAUCAAACAGGAUUAGAUACCCGGGUAGUC